This 311-nucleotide unclassified non-coding RNA is filed under the name Hevea brasiliensis (rubber tree). The record is from RNAcentral. Lineage: Eukaryota; Viridiplantae; Streptophyta; Magnoliopsida; Malpighiales; Euphorbiaceae.
GACCUCAAGGAGCAGGAUUCCAUCUUCAUCAGAAUGUAUUAGAGGAAAACUCGAAAUCAGAAGAUAUGCAAAUCAAGAUUAAAAAGAUAAAAGGUAGAAGGAAAUGAGUUAGUUGCUUAUUUUCAAGCAAGCAUACACUAGCCACACAACUUUACAAGAGAUAUUGGGGAAGGGAAACAAAAAGGUGAGGGAAAAGACUAAUAAUCAUGGAAGCAUGUGCCAAUUCCAAAGAUGUAAUAUAACGCUCAAUUCUGUAGCUCUAUACUUCAUUUGAUAUUGAAACUAGGUGACAAAAAGAAUGAACAUACCAU